Molecule: long non-coding RNA, 807 nt
Organism: Oncorhynchus nerka (sockeye salmon)
Lineage: Eukaryota; Metazoa; Chordata; Actinopteri; Salmoniformes; Salmonidae
Exons: 4
Source: RefSeq, a predicted model, not a curated record
AUUAGUUUUCAGGUAGUAUUGCACACUGUUUUCAUGUCAGGUGCUGCUCUUGGUUUGGUCCAUGUUAUUGAACUCACUAACUGCGUCCUGAUUACCUGUGUCUACGUUACAAAAUACUACCUCACCAAAUGGAAUCAGCGGUUAAGUUACGCAGGACAUCUCCCAGAUGGUCAGCAAAUAGAGACACUUACUUCUCCAACACCACGACCAGCUGGCACAACUGGGGAUGGCUAUGGAAGAGGUCCUCCGGGUUCUUUGACAUUUCCAGAGGGGUGUCACCUCCAACCACCGGAGGAUUCUCCACCACGGGUCGAGCCAGCACCCCAGCCUGUCCAAUAGUCCGCCCAUGUCAACGAUGCCCGUUUGUCCCUCCCAAAUAUGACGGGUCUCCAUCCAAAUCACGUUGCUUCCUACUCCAGUGCUCCCUCUUUCACUCAUCAGAUGAGAGCCCACACCACUGAGAGGUCUAAGGUUGCCACGGUUAUUUCCCUGCAGACCAGGCGAAGUACUAUGAAGAAACCACUGAUCUCGACAACCAUUCAGGGUGUCUUCGCUAGACAGACAGAGGGGAGGGGAGGUAUCCCAUCCACCGGAACCAGUGAGUUCAGAUCACUCUGAUUCUUUGUGCUCUGAGUCAGAGGGGGACCAGCUUGAGGAGCUAGGGGUUCUGCCUAACACCCAGACCUGGAUACACCUGAUGUCCUCCAUUACCAACUACAUAACAUCAGAUACUGUUGUCAUUAUCUGUUAAGUUUUCUUGCUUGAUCAUAAUGUGAGACCCAGAUAAAAAAAUAAAACGGAUUUGCA